Molecule: transfer RNA, 85 nt
Filed under: Candidatus Woesearchaeota archaeon
Lineage: Archaea; Nanobdellati; Candidatus Woesearchaeota
Description: tRNA-Leu
Rfam family: tRNA
About the family: Transfer RNA (tRNA) molecules are approximately 80 nucleotides in length. Their secondary structure includes four short double-helical elements and three loops (D, anti-codon, and T loops). Further hydrogen bonds mediate the characteristic L-shaped molecular structure. tRNAs have two regions of fundamental functional importance: the anti-codon, which is responsible for specific mRNA codon recognition, and the 3' end, to which the tRNAs corresponding amino acid is attached (by aminoacyl-tRNA synthetases). tRNAs cope with the degeneracy of the genetic code in two manners: having more than one tRNA (with a specific anti-codon) for a particular amino acid; and 'wobble' base-pairing, i.e. permitting non-standard base-pairing at the 3rd anti-codon position.
Source: RNAcentral
GUGGGGGUCGCCCAGUCCGGUCAAAGGCGCUACCUUGAGGGGGUAGUCUCUAUCGAGUUCGCGGGUUCGAAUCCCGUCUCCCACA